This 781-nucleotide ribosomal RNA is filed under the name uncultured Bacillus sp. RNAcentral's name for it is "bacterial SSU rRNA". It matches the Rfam family "Bacterial small subunit ribosomal RNA", at positions 122 to 885 of the family's 1533-position model. The record is from RNAcentral. Lineage: Bacteria; Bacillati; Bacillota; Bacilli; Caryophanales; Bacillaceae.
UAACCUGCCUGUAAGACUAGGAUAACUCCGGGAAACCGGGGCUAAUACUGGAUAACUUUUCUCUCCGCAUGGAGAGAGAUUGAAAGAUGGCUUCGGCUAUCACUUACAGAUGGACCCGCGGCGCAUUAGCUAGUUGGUGAGGUAACGGCUCACCAAGGCAACGAUGCGUAGCCGACCUGAGAGGGUGAUCGGCCACAUUGGGACUGAGACACGGCCCAAACUCCUACGGGAGGCAGCAGUAGGGAAUCUUCCGCAAUGGACGAAAGUCUGACGGAGCAACGCCGCGUGAGUGAAGAAGGUCUUCGGAUCGUAAAACUCUGUUGUUAGGGAAGAACAAGUAUCGUUCGAAUAGGGCGGUACCUUGACGGUACCUAACCAGAAAGCCACGGCUAACUACGUGCCAGCAGCCGCGGUAAUACGUAGGUGGCAAGCGUUGUCCGGAAUUAUUGGGCGUAAAGCGCGCGCAGGCGGUCUUUUAAGUCUGAUGUGAAAGCCCACGGCUCAACCGUGGAGGGUCAUUGGAAACUGGAAGACUUGAGUGCCGAAGAGGAGAGUGGAAUUCCACGUGUAGCGGUGAAAUGCGUAGAGAUGUGGAGGAACACCAGUGGGCGAAGGCGACUCUCCUGGUCUGUAACUGACGCUGAGGCGCGAAAGCGUGGGGAGCAAACAGGAUUAGAUANCCUGUUAGUCCACGCCGUAAACGAUGAGUGCUAAGUGUUAGAGGGUUUCCGCCCUUUAGUGCUGCAGCUAACGCAUUAAGCACUCCGCCUGGGGAGUACGA